CAAUAGCCGUGUUUCGAGUUACUCCGGAACACCCGGGAUUUUUCGUAUUUAGCCACGCCGGUCACGUGAUAUGAGCAAAAUGUUCCACAGGGGUACUUCCGGUUAAUUUUGUUUACACUGGUAACAAAAUUGUUUUUGACAAAAUAUAGAUUUUGCGGCACAAACUGUCGCAAAUCAGAUAAAGGAUAGCAAGGGAUAUAUAUUUACUUGGGAAGAUGUCAAAGUUUACCUUUUCCCAAACCCGGGAAAAGCGUUCACGCAGAGGAAACGAUGGCGUCAUUUGUGUAGAAAACCACGAGCAGCCGAAAUUGAGUGCGAUUAUUACAUUCCGUGAAAGCUGAACCAACAAAGAAACAUCAUUGUUCUAGCCAGUUUGCUUAUAUUAACUUUUAGGAAAACCAAGAGGUUGAUAACAAUGGCUGAUCUGCAUAUAAUGACUGCUAGUUAUUGGCUGGUAUGCAGUGAAAGGGAGCUAAAAAGGAGUAAAAAGUUCAUAUCAGCCAGGUGAGAAUUAAUUUCUUCUUUUUUGUGUGUUAUACAUAUGUAAUUCUUUUCUUUUGCUGCUUCAAAUCUUGUGUAUUUGAAAAUUUUCAGUCUAAUAUUUGGCAAUGUUAUAGGUAGUGUGGUUUAAAUAAACCAGUGUUAAGGAAUAUCCAGUAAUGGCAUGACAUCAUGAGAGUUUGGCAUACCGACAUUCAGAUGAUUAAUGAUGAAACUGAAGACCUCAAGUGAAAGGCAUGGAAAAUUAUCCUGUUCCCAUUAACCUGGAAAAGAGGAGGGAUGCCACAAUAUUGAUAAUAGACUUUUGUCAAUUUGAGAAGCAAAGAUGUAAAAAAAAAAAAAAAAAAAAAAAAAAAAAAAAAAAAAAAAAAAAAAAAAAUAAAUAAUGCUGAAAUUAUAAUUCAUGUAUUUGUUAAAAAUACUGUUCACUGUACAUACAUGUAUAUUUUUUUUAACUUAUUUGGAAAUACAUGAAGUAAUUCAUAUUAAAACUGAAUGUAUGAGUUUUCAUGAUUUUUAUCAAUAAAGCUUACCAUAUUUAUUG
Long non-coding RNA from Ostrea edulis (European flat oyster), 1045 nucleotides. RefSeq lists it as uncharacterized. The record is from RefSeq and is a predicted model, not a curated record. NCBI's taxonomy places the organism in Eukaryota, Metazoa, Mollusca, Bivalvia, Ostreida, Ostreidae. The transcript is spliced from 2 exons.